Phrynosoma platyrhinos (Desert horned lizard) is the source of this 72-nucleotide non-coding RNA. NCBI's taxonomy places the organism in Eukaryota, Metazoa, Chordata, Lepidosauria, Squamata, Phrynosomatidae. The record is from the annotation of a GenBank genome assembly.
GCCAUUGUGGAAUAGUGGUAUGAGCAUUAGACUAUAACUCUGGAGACCAGGGUUCAAAUCCCCACUCAGCCA